Molecule: unclassified non-coding RNA, 321 nt
Filed under: plant metagenome
Description: partial contains 5.8S ribosomal RNA, internal transcribed spacer 2, and large subunit ribosomal RNA
Rfam family: 5.8S ribosomal RNA (bases 1-105)
Source: RNAcentral
GAAAUGCGAUAAGUAAUGUGAAUUGCAGAGUUUUGUGAAUCAUCGAAUCUUUGAACGCACAUUGCGCCCCUCGGUAUUCCGACGGGCAUGCCUGUCCGAGCGUCGUUCGCAACACAUCGAGUCACAUACUCGGUCUUGGGCCCCGUCCCGCCCGUGGGACGGGCCUCGAAGUCCGCGGCGGCCCCGGGCGUCCGUCGGAGCGUUUUCGAACGUGACCGCUCCGCGCGGUGCGACCCGGGUUCCGGCCCACCGGGCGAGUGCCCCCCCCACACACAAGAGGUUUGACCUCGGAUCAGGCAGGGCUACCCGCUGAACUUAAGC